GGUUGCUCCAGAAGUAGAUAGCUUAACCUUCGGGAGGGCGUUUACCACGGAGUGAUUCAUGACUGGGGUGAAGUCGUAACAAGGUAACCGUAGGGGAACCUGCGGUUGGAUCACCUCCUUACCUUAAA
This 128-nucleotide ribosomal RNA is filed under the name Zobellella denitrificans. RNAcentral's name for it is "partial 16S ribosomal RNA". It matches the Rfam family "Bacterial small subunit ribosomal RNA", at positions 1413 to 1533 of the family's 1533-position model. Lineage: Bacteria; Pseudomonadati; Pseudomonadota; Gammaproteobacteria; Aeromonadales; Aeromonadaceae. The record is from RNAcentral.